Non-coding RNA from Epinephelus lanceolatus (giant grouper), 2122 nucleotides. The record is from RefSeq and is a predicted model, not a curated record. Lineage: Eukaryota; Metazoa; Chordata; Actinopteri; Perciformes; Serranidae.
AGCAGUUCCUCUCCUCCCCGGUGAAACACAAACACAGCUCGGUGAUAAAGUAGCGGUGGACGGAGUGCCAACCUUGUCCAAUUAUAGUUACACAGUGGUGGAUGUUUCCCUGGAUGUCUCUGCUCCAAUGUACCACAUGAUGGAAGCACCAUAUAACAGAGGGCUUUGGUGCACCUAAGCAGCAAUUACAGGCCCUGCCACCUGCCUGUCACUUGGGAUUUCCUGCUGGCUCCAGAGGAGACAGUCAGCACUUCAAAAGCAGUGAUCAAAGCAAUAUGAGUGACUUAACAGAGUUUGAACGAUGCCAGAUAGUCGCUGCGCGGCUUUCAGGGGCAUCUGUCACAAAAACUGCACAGCUGUUUAACGUGGCAAGGGGAACAGUCUCCAGAGUCAUGACUGUGUACAUCAAACAUGGACGAACAGCAUCAGCAAAAAAGAACAGCGGGCGCAAGUCAAAGCUCACUGAAAAGGACAGACAGACACUGCUCAGGAUAGUCGACGAACACCCUGAGUACACAGCCUCAAAAAUAACCACAGAGUUGAAUAGACACCUUUCUCACACUGUCUCAGUAAAGACUAUACGGCGUGAGCUUCACAAAGCUGGUAUUUUCAGAGGAGCAGCCAGUCGGAAACCAGAGACUGAGAGUGACACACAGGAGCCACAUGGAAAGAACAAUAAACCUGAACCGGACAAAGAGUGUGACACACCAAAACAUGGUGAAGAGAGCACAAGACCUCAAGUGCAAACAAGUGACAGUGAGUGUGGCACACAAACGCCUGUGGGAGACAAAAUGUUAUCUGAAGCCCAGGCUCGUUUUGAAGACUACAACACAGAAAAAUCUGAGGACACAAUACAACCUGGAUCCCAAGUCAGUGGAGAAGAAUAUUGCACUCACAAGCCUGGUGAAGAGACCACAGGACUUGAACCUCAGACCAGCGGAAAGGAAUAAUGUGUUGUAUUUCAGCCUUUGUCAUAUAUCCAGAUUUAUCAGAAUAAUGUAAAACCACAGAAUGCCUUCAUCCCUUUGUGUCAUCAGCUGUUAUAUGUCACCAGGAAUCUGAAAUAACAUUUCAGUUUCUAUAUUAUUUAUUUUGCAUGAAUUUAAAUGGUGCAAUAUUCAGGCAUUUCCUAAGCUUUUUCAUUUCUCCUAGUUUACCAGCAAACAUACCUUAAAUGUAGACUGUUAAGAAUUAGCCUAAAUAGUUGAAAAUAUCCAUAUCGUAGAUGUUUAACAGAAAUAUUAUGAUAUUGUUAUGAUAAAGGAAAACACUCAGCUUAAAACAGUUAAUGAAUUAAAAAAUUGAGUUUGUCCCUGAUAUGUUGACCCAAGUCAUGCUGAGAUGAUACCUGCUGUUUUACACCCUAUCUUGUACUGUAAAGUGUGGCCUACUUGAGGUUAUAUCUAUCAAGAAAAAACUUUUGUGGAUAAGAUGUGAAACCAAGUAGCAACUACAAUCCCCUAGGAGUAUAUAAUUCCAGCACUGUCUCAAAAAGUCAUACUGUAUUGAAGUCACAGUUGCAACAUACUUUAUGAAAUAUGAAGUUGUGUUUUAUUCCAUAAGAUGUUAGAUUCUUAGCAGUAAAGCUCCAUAAUAUGUGUCUCAUAUGAUGUCUUGAUGGGGGUUUUCUAAAAUAUGUUUUGAUGUAUCAUGAGGGCAUUGAGGGUAACAGAGAAGUACUGUAUGUUUUGGGGCUUGGUCGACAGGUUCUCAAACUAUCAUGCUCAACUGCAGUGGUUGCUGCUUGCUCCUCUCAUCUCAGCUUCACUCAGGCCCUAAACAAAAACAAACUCCAGAUUUCAGAAUGUCACUUCAGCAACCUGGAUGGUGCAGAUGAAGCACUUUUGUCUACUUUUACAAAAUGUAAAAAUGACCUCAUGAAAUGAAACUUUGGAAAUGUUCACAGGCACCACUUAAUCUUUGCUACAAAUGUAUUGAUUGACCCAACUCUAAGGUAUUGAAUCUGAAUCAUCACAUCCCUUCCAUGCCACCUUUGCUUUUGUACACAUAAUGUCGUGUUUGUAGCAUGUGCGUAGCUUUGGCAGGGAUGGGAGUGGGACACAAAGCAUCAGGCAACGUAAUGUUUUUACUGCAUAUUAAAACAUUACACUUAAAAAACAAA